This 443-nucleotide ribosomal RNA is filed under the name uncultured bacterium. RNAcentral describes it as "bacterial SSU rRNA". It matches the Rfam family "Bacterial small subunit ribosomal RNA", at positions 448 to 885 of the family's 1533-position model. The record is from RNAcentral.
CGGCCAGCUCUAACAUAGCUGGCUCAUGACGGUACCUGAAGAAGAAGCACCGGCUAACUACGUGCCAGCAGCCGCGGUAAUACGUAGGGUGCGAGCGUUAAUCGGAAUUACUGGGCGUAAAGCGUGCGCAGGCGGUGGUGUAAGACAGGUGUGAAAUCCCCGGGCUUAACCUGGGAACUGCGCUAGUGACUGCACGGCUAGAGUAUGGCAGAGGGGGGUGGAAUUCCACGUGUAGCAUUGAAAUGCGUAUAGAUGUGGAGGAACACCGAUGGCGAAGGCCGCCCCCUGGGCCAAUACUGACUCUCAUGCACGAAAGCGUGGGGAGCAAACAGGAUUAGAUACCCUGGUAGUCCACGCCCUAAACGAUAUCGACUAGGUGUUCGGUGAGGACACUCAUUGAGUACCGCAGCUAACGCGUGAAGUCGACCGCCUGGGGAGUACGG